UCGCACUGUUCGUAACCUCUUGACAGCAUCUUUCUGUGAAUAGGUUCCAUUCCAGUGCUACAGGAAAUCCAAUAAUGGGAGGCUGACAAAUUCCAUGUCCCUCCUGUAUUUGGAGACAAAA
Molecule: small nucleolar RNA, 121 nt
Filed under: Leptosomus discolor (cuckoo roller)
Lineage: Eukaryota; Metazoa; Chordata; Aves; Leptosomiformes; Leptosomidae
Source: RNAcentral